AUGAAAAGUAGAGAGGGGGGUGAUCAAGUGGAGCAUGGGAUAACUACUGGGUGAUGCAUUAGUUCAGCUAAGUUGAGCGGGGCACGUUUGGAAUGACUUGGCACAUGCUUGCUUGCUAACUUAUGUAAUUCGUGGGUAUCCUCAUAGUUAAGCUAUGUUUCACUUGAGGUAUGCCUGCAGGUAAGGUAAUUUCUGCUAGCUUUCUUGUAAAGAUGGGAAGGUAUGUAGCUAGGGCUGAGUUUGGGAACUCCAAGCCUCUUUUAGUAAAUAGUAGAGAGAUAUUUAUUUAAUUCCUGAAAAAUUGUGUGAAGUGAGAGUUACUAGUAGUGCCUGCAGGUGAUAUAUGGCAUAAGUAACCCAACAGGUGACAAGUAACCCCCGUUAUUCUUGUAAUGUAUUAUGCUCUUCCAAUGCAAUUUGUUGCUUCAUCUUGGGCCCCCUGUGUACUCAUCCUUGGUAGAAAAACAGAGCUUACAAACUUGGGAGUUCAAAAUAGCCAAAAAAAAACUUAGCUAGCUAGGUGAAAGUAAUGCUUAAUUAAUAUUUUUUGUGUAUUGUCCUCUUGCAAAGUUGAUGUGCACAGGCAACUGCAUCAGAUCUAUAACAUACCCUACCAUAUUACAGUGAAACGGAGGAGAUCUCAGGGAAUGGCUGAAGUUGCAUUGGACCAAUCUUGGUCCGACAAGCCUCCAAGACAAACUUGGAUUCAAUUUCGUUCUGGCAGAUCGGUAUGAAUGCCAUCCUCGCAAGCAUUGCGCAAGUUGAUAGUGGUGAUAUUCUUGAAAAGAAAAAAUCGAUAGUGGUAAUGAGAAAAGCACAGGAGGAGGACAAGAGGACAAGUGAGGCGGCAAGCUAAGAAGACGGUGGCUUGGCGUGCUUGGCGUAAUCUAACUUGAUUACCAGGCAGAGGCAGACAAACACUGGAUUCUAGCUCGAUGGAAGAUGUUCCUGCCACAUGUGCAUGCAUUCAUGCUGGCUUAAGGAAAUUAUUCAGGGAGACAUGAUGCCCAAGCAAGAAGAUCGAGGGCAGGGCUGCUCCAGAUGAGAUCAUCAGCCGCAGCUACACCUCUACCUCUGCUUCUUGUUUUCCUCUACCUGUAGGCUGUAGCAACAACAAGUUUUCCUCUACCCCUCUGCUUCUUGUUUAGCAACAACAAUAGUACUACUGCUCUGCUUCCUGUGUGUCAUCUGCAUCAAUGAUCUGUGAUGAUCUAUUGGAUGUAUCUCAGUAUCUGUGCUUAUAGCUUUCCACCAUCGAAUCGAACAUGCACGACUCAUUUUC
RNAcentral lists this small RNA (1282 nucleotides) under Oryza sativa Japonica Group (Japanese rice). RNAcentral's name for it is "sRNA Os08g0100300". Lineage: Eukaryota; Viridiplantae; Streptophyta; Magnoliopsida; Poales; Poaceae. The record is from RNAcentral.